CCUAGAAGAACCCCCACCUCACCUUCAACAGGCCACCUCUGAAGGCAGAAGUGACAAUUUUCUUUGAUUUCCUCUGUACUUCUUCACUCUUCCCCACCAUGCGUGUCCAGCCAGACUAGUGUUCCGCUGGGGCUGGUAUCACGAAAUGUCCCUUUCCACGAAAAUCCCUUUUUCAAAGUGUGGGGUUUAAAAUAAAUGUGUUCACCACAACAGGAUACCCCUUCCCAGCUGCCGUCACGAAGACUGGAGACAGGGGCCAGCAAGGACACGAGGACCCCGGGGCAUCGUGCUGGGAAUCCAAGCCCACGCAGACACCACGGAGAAUACGGCGCUUCCUUGAAACACGAUAAAGAAAAUCACCCGUAGGCUCCAGCAACCCCACUUCUGGGUGUUUAUCCAAAGAGAGGGACAUCGCUCUGUCCAAGCGGCAUCUGCCUCCCUGCCGUCAUGGCCGCAUCAUUCACAAGACACGGGAGCAGCCUGAGGGACCCCGGUGGGUCAACGGGUAAAGAAAAUGUGGUGUCUACAGCCAGCCAUAAAAAAAGAACCCAGUCCUGCCAUUCGUGACAGUGCAGAUGAACGGCGAGCAUCUUGCGCUCACUGAGAUAGUCAUCGGGAGCCGGACGGACACCAUUGAUCUCACUUCUCUGCAGAACCUUGAAAAGAAAAGAGACUGCGUAGACACGGGGAUCCUGUUUGUGGUUGCCGGGUGAGACCACCCCGGCUCAGUGCAGGACGGGGAGAUGGCUGUGGGGCCGUGGAGACCGGACAGGCUGGAGGGGCCCCAGCUGAAAGCAGAGGAGCCUGGCAACCUGCUUCUUGGUGGAACAUCCUGGAAGUGGACAUGGCUGAGAGACCCACGAGAGCUUGAGGGAGCUUCCCUGGCCAGCUCCGUGGGUUGGUUUGCAGGCGACAGGGGACACCUGCUCACAUUCCACGAGCCACUGCAAGGCCCAGGACCCACAAGGUCACUGCAAGGCACAGUGACCCGCACCCGGGAGGAGAGGAGAACCGGGCAUCUCGGUGAGAGGUGGGGGGCUAGCGAUUUCCCUCACACCCCAGGGGACCCCCAGACCUGAGCAGCCUGAUGCCGAGAAGGACAGAUCCCAGUCCUGGGCUCCCAGGGCUGGGUGAGGACCCAGGGACUGUCAAGACAUGCAGAAGAUGCUCUCCCUCCCCCUGUCCCUGGGGACACGGAUAGAGCUAGGAGGAACCACAAGACGAGAGUCCUUGGAAGGGUUACCCCAAAAGGGAGUGCAUUUGCCCCAGAAGAGGCUAGCAAGUGACGAGAGAAGGGUCUCUGCCAUCAGGAGGGGAAGAGUUUUCCUAGAACGAUGGCCAGAUGAGGGGAUGUUCCAAGGCUAGCUGCAGAAACCCCGGAGGACAGAGGGCAGGGUCCCAUGCGGAAGGAUGGGGCCCAGCCCUCCAGGCGUGGUGCCAUCAAGCCGUCCUGCCUUCUCUGUGAUGGUGGCUGCCAUGUCGUGGGAAAGGAGUGUCCCCACUAAUGAGGAUCUGAAGACCCCAGGGCCAAGGGCAGAGAGGAGCAGUGGGUAGCCAUGGAAACCAAGCCUCAGGGAAGCUCAGGGGCUUGCUAGGCGGCGACACAGCCAACGAGUGCCAGAGCUGGAAUCCAAGCCCGCUUCGGGCUGUGUCUGCAGAACGUCUCAGAGUCUGCCCACCUCCCUCUACCGUGCUUCGUCAUAUGUGAAAAUCUGAUUUCUCUUUCAACGGCUGCCACAGAGAGGCCCAGGGCAUGGCCACCGACAGGCAGAGGGGAGCACCCAGCUGGAGCUGUUGACAGCACCUUCCUCCUUCCCAGGGAAACACAGCUGGACCGCUUGGAGUCUCCACGUCUGAUACUCAGGUGAGAAAGCUGAGGGCCAGAGAGGUGAGCAUCCCGUCCGAGGUCGCACAGCCCUCCUAGACCUUGGCUGUGAGCCAUCGCCCGCCACCGUUGCAGGAAGCGUUCCUGGAAAGCAAGCCGGCCCUGGGUUCCUUGUAGAGAUCAGAGGAGCCACAAGAUCCCCAGGCCAGGGCAGAGGUCCCCACCCUGGACGCGGGUGACACUUCCCCUGGGAGGGCGGGGCUGGGACAUGAAGAUCUCAGCCCUGAACACCGAGUUCUCCCGCUACAAGGUUCUCAGUAGACUGGGGACAGCCUGUCCUGACUGGCUUCCUGUCACCUCCCCCACCCUCCCCGCCAUCUCCUGGCCUGUCUCUGGGGCUCCCAGCACAGGAGAGGGGAUCUUGGGGGCACUCCUGAGCUAAAAGGCCGUCAUAGCUUACAAGACGCCGCCCCUCUUGGCUCUUCACGGAAGGAAUUUUUUUUUUCCCCCAGUUAAUCCAAGCGAUGCGUGGCAAUGUGAUAGAACAUCAAAUAUGGGGGCGACUCGGGGGGCACAGUCGGUUGAGCGUCUGACUCUUAAUUUCUGCUCAGGUUAUGGUCUCAGGGUCCUGGGAUGGAGCCCC
Molecule: long non-coding RNA, 2468 nt
Organism: Mustela erminea (ermine)
Lineage: Eukaryota; Metazoa; Chordata; Mammalia; Carnivora; Mustelidae
Exons: 5
Source: RefSeq, a predicted model, not a curated record